GACGAACGCUGGCGGCGUGCUUAACACAUGCAAGUCGAACGGAAAGGCCCUGCUUUUGUGGGGUGCUCGAGUGGCGAACGGGUGAGUAACACGUGAGUAACCUGCCCUUGACUUUGGGAUAACUUCAGGAAACUGGGGCUAAUACCGGAUAGGAGCUCCUGCUGCAUGGUGGGGGUUGGAAAGUUUCGGCGGUUGGGGAUGGACUCGCGGCUUAUCAGCUUGUUGGUGGGGUAGUGGCUUACCAAGGCUUUGACGGGUAGCCGGCCUGAGAGGGUGACCGGCCACAUUGGGACUGAGAUACGGCGCAGAAUCCUACGGGAGGCAGCAGUGGGGAAUAUUGCACAAUGGGCGGAAGCCUGAUGCAGCAACGCCGCGUGCGGGAUGACGGCCUUCGGGUUGUAAACCGCUUUCGCCUGUGACGAAGAGUGAGUGACGGUAAUGGGUAAAGAAGCACCGGCUAACUACGUG
RNAcentral lists this ribosomal RNA (468 nucleotides) under uncultured bacterium. RNAcentral's name for it is "partial 16S ribosomal RNA". It matches the Rfam family "Bacterial small subunit ribosomal RNA", at positions 28 to 507 of the family's 1533-position model. The record is from RNAcentral.